GCUGGGUGUGAUGGCGCACACCUGUAGUUCCAGCUACUCGGGAGGCUGAGGCAGGAGGAUUGCUUGAGCCUGGGAAUCGGAGUUUGCAGUGAGCAAAGGUCAUGCCACUGCACUCCAGCCUGGGCAACAGAGUGAGACUCUGUCUCAA
This 148-nucleotide non-coding RNA is filed under the name Gorilla gorilla gorilla (western lowland gorilla). Lineage: Eukaryota; Metazoa; Chordata; Mammalia; Primates; Hominidae. The record is from Rfam by way of RNAcentral.